RNAcentral lists this ribosomal RNA (228 nucleotides) under uncultured bacterium. RNAcentral's name for it is "partial 16S ribosomal RNA". It matches the Rfam family "Bacterial small subunit ribosomal RNA", at positions 568 to 795 of the family's 1533-position model. The record is from RNAcentral.
UGCGUAGGCGGCUAUAUAAGUCAGGAGUGAAAGGUGCCCGCUAAACGGGCGAAGUGCUUUUGAUACUGUAUAGCUUGAAUAAGGUUGAGGUUAGCGGAAUGUGACAUGUAGCGGUGAAAUGCAUAGAUAUGUCAUAGAACACCAAUUGCGAAGGCAGCUGGCUAGACCUAUAUUGACGCUGAGGCACGAAAGCGUGGGGAGCGAACAGGAUUAGAUACCCUGGUAGUC